UCUAUGGGUUGUGUUUUGGUUUUUGUUUUGUUCGUCGCUUUUUGGAAGUUUUAACGUAAAUUUGAAUAGUCAUACAAGCUAACAAAUUAGAACUCGUUUUGUAAAAAUUAGAACUCGAAAAUUUUUUGCUGCGAGUUAAGUAAACCCUUAAGUGUUUUUUUUUUGUUUUUUUUUUGUAAAUAGAUAAAUAGUUUUUAACUAAUGUUAGC
Molecule: long non-coding RNA, 209 nt
Filed under: Gossypium raimondii (Peruvian cotton)
Lineage: Eukaryota; Viridiplantae; Streptophyta; Magnoliopsida; Malvales; Malvaceae
Description: long non-coding RNA (GRAI_LNC009364)
Source: RNAcentral